AUUGAACGCUGGCGGCAUGUUUUACACAUGCAAGUCGAACGGUAACAGGUUAAGCUGACGAGUGGCGAACGGGUGAGUAAUGCAUCGGAACGUGCCCGGUCGUGGGGGAUAACGCAGCGAAAGCUGCGCUAAUACCGCAUACGAUCUGAGGAUGAAAGCGGGGGACCGUAAGGCCUCGCGCGAUCGGAGCGGCCGAUGUCAGAUUAGGUAGUUGGUGGGGUAAAGGCUCACCAAGCCAACGAUCUGUAGCUGGUCUGAGAGGACGACCAGCCACACUGGGACUGAGACACGGCCCAGACUCCUACGGGAGGCAGCAGUGGGGAAUUUUGGACAAUGGGCGAAAGCCUGAUCCAGCAAUGCCGCGUGCAGGAAGAAGGCCUUCGGGUUGUAAACUGCUUUUGUACGGAGCGAAAAGGCCUCCUCUAAUACAGGGGGCUCAUGACGGUACCGUAAGAAUAAGCACUGGCUAACUACGUGCCAGCAGCCGCAGUAA
RNAcentral lists this ribosomal RNA (493 nucleotides) under uncultured bacterium. RNAcentral describes it as "partial 16S ribosomal RNA". It matches the Rfam family "Bacterial small subunit ribosomal RNA", at positions 30 to 523 of the family's 1533-position model. The record is from RNAcentral.